This 468-nucleotide ribosomal RNA is filed under the name uncultured bacterium. RNAcentral describes it as "partial 16S ribosomal RNA". It matches the Rfam family "Bacterial small subunit ribosomal RNA", at positions 28 to 507 of the family's 1533-position model. The record is from RNAcentral.
GACGAACGCUGGCGGCGUGCUUAACACAUGCAAGUCGAACGGAAAGGCCCUGCUUUUGUGGGGUGCUCGAGUGGCGAACGGGUGAGUAACACUUGAGUAACCUGCCCUUGACUUUGGGUUAACUUCAGGAAACUGGGGCUAAUACCGGAUAGGAGCUCCUGCUGCAUGGUGGGGGUUGGAAAGUUUCGGCGGUUGGGGAUGGACUCGCGGCUUAUCAGCUUGUUGGUGGGGUAGUGGCUUACCAAGGUUUUGACGGGUAGCCGGCCUGAGAGGGUGACCGGCCACAUUGGGACUGAGAUACGGCCCAGACUCCUACGGGAGGCAGCAGUGGGGAAUAUUGCACAAUGGGCGGAAGCCUGAUGCAGCAACGCCGCGUGCGGGAUGACGGCCUUCGGGUUGUAAACCGCUUUCGCCUGUGACGAAGCGUGAGUGACGGUAAUGGGUAAAGAAGCACCGGCUAACUACGUG